CCUACGGGAGGCAGCAGUAAGGAAUAUUGGUCAAUGGACGCAAGUCUGAACCAGCCAUGCCGCGUGAAGGAUUAAGGUCCUCUGGAUUGUAAACUUCUUUUAUCUGGGACGAAAAAAGGCUAUUCUUAGUCACUUGACGGUACCAGAUGAAUAAGCACCGGCUAACUCCGUGCCAGCAGCCGCGGUAAUACGGAGGGUGCAAGCGUUAUCCGGAUUCACUGGGUUUAAAGGGUGCGUAGGCGGGCAGGUAAGUCAGUGGUGAAAUCCUGGAGCUUAACUCCAGAACUGCCAUUGAUACUAUCUGUCUUGAAUAUUGUGGAGGUAAGCGGAAUAUGUCAUGUAGCGGUGAAAUGCUUAGAUAUGACAUAGAACACCUAUUGCGAAGGCAGCUUACUACGCAUAUAUUGACGCUGAGGCACGAAAGCGUGGGGAUCAAACAGGAUUAGAUACCCUGGUAGUCCACGCCCUAAACGAUGGAUACUCGACAUACGCGAUACACUGUGUGUGUCUGAGCGAAAGCAUUAAGUAUCCCACCCUGGGAAGUACGACCGCAAGGUUGAAACGUCAAAGAGUAGUAGGACGUUCGAGACGUUAGCCGACGGACGGACACACGGGAGGGUAGGG
This 624-nucleotide ribosomal RNA is filed under the name uncultured bacterium. RNAcentral's name for it is "bacterial SSU rRNA". It matches the Rfam family "Bacterial small subunit ribosomal RNA", at positions 338 to 1414 of the family's 1533-position model. The record is from RNAcentral.